AGGAUGUCAGCCGCGACGCGGACUGACGCGAGCGUAGCGAGGUGUCUGUAUCAGUUGUUUCGCCAGAAGCAACGCUGAGUAGCUAUGUUCGGCCGGGAUAACCGCUGAAAGCAUAUAAGUGGGAAACCCUUCUGAAGAUAAGAUCUCCUGGGAGCAAUCCCCUAAAGACCCCAAGAAGAUGACUUGGUUGAUAGGUCACAGAUGUAAGUGUGGUAACACAUUCAGUCGAGUGAUACUAAUCGGUCGU
Molecule: non-coding RNA, 247 nt
Filed under: Leptospira weilii serovar Topaz str. LT2116
Lineage: Bacteria; Pseudomonadati; Spirochaetota; Leptospiria; Leptospirales; Leptospiraceae
Description: Bacterial large subunit ribosomal RNA
Rfam family: Bacterial large subunit ribosomal RNA
Source: Rfam by way of RNAcentral